GACGAACGCUGGCGGCGUGCUUAACACAUGCAAGUCGAACGGUGAAGCUCCAGCUUGCUGGAGUGGAUCAGUGGCGAACGGGUGAGUAACACGUGAGCAACCUGCCCCUGACUCUGGAAUAAGCGCUGGAAACGGCGUCUAAUACUGGAUACGAGAAGGGUCCGCAUGGGCACUUUCUGGAAAGUUUUGCGGUUGGGGAUGGGCUCGCGGCCUAUCAGCUUGUUGGUGGGGUAAUGGCUCACCAAGGCGACGACGGGUAGCCGGCCUGAGAGGGCGACCGGCCACACUGGGACUGAGACACGGCCCAGACUCCUACGGGAGGCAGCAGUGGGGAAUAUUGCACAAUGGGCGAAAGCCUGAUGCAGCGACGCCGCGUGAGGGAUGACGGCCUUCGGGUUGUAAACCUCUUUCAGCAGGGAAGAAGCGAAAGUGACGGUACCGGCAGAAGAAGCACCGGCUAACUACGUG
RNAcentral lists this ribosomal RNA (468 nucleotides) under uncultured bacterium. Its description in RNAcentral is "partial 16S ribosomal RNA". It matches the Rfam family "Bacterial small subunit ribosomal RNA", at positions 28 to 507 of the family's 1533-position model. The record is from RNAcentral.